Molecule: transfer RNA, 48 nt
Filed under: Agama picticauda
Lineage: Eukaryota; Metazoa; Chordata; Lepidosauria; Squamata; Agamidae
Description: partial tRNA-Leu
Source: RNAcentral
ACUUUCAAUGGACAAAAGUCGUCCAAUGGCCUUAGGAGUCACAACUCU